Molecule: long non-coding RNA, 1293 nt
Filed under: Calidris pugnax (ruff)
Lineage: Eukaryota; Metazoa; Chordata; Aves; Charadriiformes; Scolopacidae
Description: lncRNA (ENSCPUG00000004292.1)
Source: RNAcentral
UUGGAUAUUAAAGUCUGGAAAAUGACAGAGGACUAGAUUCCAGAAGAAAGCCCAGACCAGGACAAGUUGACUUUGCUGAGCAUUUAUUCCAUGAACUGCAUGUGCGUGGUUAAAUGCCAGAGCAAGGCUAGUCCUGCAGGGGUGGGGUGGGAGGGGAGGACAGGACUGCCUUGGAAUGAGCGGUCUGCGGCUUCAAGAAAGUUAACACUUGCUUUUAUUUUUAUUUUUUUUUUGGUGUAAAGCCUUAGAAGUCCUCUUGGGGGAGGGGGGGAGUUUUCUCAGAGCCUGUUAGGGGUGUGAAGUUUUUCUGUUUUCUUGAGACUGCAAUCGUGCAGGCAAAAAAUGAGGAAUAAGCCUGAAAAAAAAGAAGAAAAAAAUUAAAAAAAAAAAGAGGAAGGGGAAGGCUCCCGUGGUACAAGCUGGACGUUUGCUUCCCAAAGCGUUGGAGUGAACGGUGCAGGGUAGGGAGGUGGGUGGUGAAGCAGAGAGAGGCAGGAUGGGGGUGCGUUCACCUACGAGAAGGUGGUAGGGUUGGUGUUGGGGUGACAUGGCUCAUUACUGGGGGUGACAUGGCUUUAUUAAUUACUGGAGCACGCCCCAGUGGCAGAAGAAGUGCGUCCUGCUGAAGCAAUUAGGUCGCCAGGUUAUGAAUUGGUCCAGGGUGCUUUUUCUUUAUAUGAUUAAUUUUAUUUUUUGUUUUUUUUUUCCUGAGGGAAAAUGAAAUGGGUAAUUAAGGUGGGAAGGGGAGCUGAGUUUGAUACCGCAGGACUAGCUGCUGUGCAGCCACACGCCCAGGGAAGUCCUCGUUUCCAAAUAAACAGGCUCCCUGGACUCAAAAAAAGCAAUUCUCUCAGAGAAGCGGAGCGGCUGGAUGUGCGCGGAGGAUGCGAGAGAGAAGCAGGAGAGGAACUGAGCAGCGAGCUUGCCCGAGUUGUGGGAAGGGUUAAAAAAACGUUUCUGGGUUAGAAAGCCACGUUUUUUUUUGGACUUUGAGAAGAACUUGCACUAGGGAGCUGUAGGUGGAGCUUGUCUUUUCAAUAUUGAAACCCGGGAGUUGUGUUUUGCCAGGAAUCUUUCUCCCCGUUUGUCAAAAUGGGAAGAUGAUUACUUUUCCAUCACUUGAAAUACAGAUACUUGCUAACUUUUGGUUACCAAAGAAUAAGUUACUUUUCCUUUUUGAUUUGCCUGCAGUAUUUCUCUUCUUUUUUUUUUUUUUUUUAACCUUAAUAAUUUAGCGAGGUUGGUUUUUAUUGUAUAUUUUACAGAUAAUAAAAAACAUUUAACGGUUUUCCA